UGGGGAAUUUUGGACAAUGGGGGCAACCCUGAUCCAGCCAUCCCGCGUGUGCGAUGAAGGCCUUCGGGUUGUAAAGCACUUUUGGCAGGGAAGAAACAGCCUGGGCUAAUAUCCCGGGCGACUGACGGUACCUGCAGAAUAAGCACCGGCUAACUACGUGCCAGCAGCCGCGGUAAUACGUAGGGUGCAAGCGUUAAUCGGAAUUACUGGGCGUAAAGCGUGCGCAGGCGGUUCGGAAAGAAAGGUGUGAAAUCCCAGGGCUUAACCUUGGAACUGCACGUUUAACUACCGGGCUAGAGUACGUCAGAGGGUGGUAGAAUUCCACGUGUAGCAGUGAAGUGCGUAGAGAUGUGGAGGAAUACCGAUGGCGAAGGCAGCCCCCUGGGAUGAUACUGACGCUCAUGCACGAAAGCGUGGGGAGCAAACA
RNAcentral lists this ribosomal RNA (427 nucleotides) under uncultured bacterium. RNAcentral describes it as "bacterial SSU rRNA". It matches the Rfam family "Bacterial small subunit ribosomal RNA", at positions 355 to 774 of the family's 1533-position model. The record is from RNAcentral.